AUGGAAUAGGAAUUGAGCCUCAAGAAAUUACUAGACAUGUAUUUAACAAAGGAAAGAGAGGAAGACAUUCCAAGAGAGGGAAUAAUGUGAGCAAAUUGAUGAUGGGUAAAAAUUUGGAGGCCAGGAAAUCUUUCUGGUACAGCUGCCCUUUGUCCCUUUCCAGCGGACUAAAGGAGAAGAUCCAGACUAAGAAUCAAUGUGAAGUUGGAAGAGGGAGACACUCAUAGAUCUUUGGGAAAUGACUCUAUGGGGCUUUACUUCUACAGGAAGAGAAGCUCAGACAUCAAGAAAAAGGGACUUGUUGAAAAUGUGGAAUAAAAGAAGUGGAAUCAGAUCAUCAGGUGACCUGAAUGCGAAGGCAUUGGCCUUCUAGAAGAAAACGCUGUAAAUUCAGAUGUCAAGGAGGUGCUGUGGUGAACAGGGACUCCAACCAAGGAAAAAUUAUCUCCACAUUUUACAGGCGUUAAAGGCUGGUGAGGAAAGCUGGGUUCUUGGCUGAGGUUCUUAUUCAGCUGAUUACAGAGAGCAACACAUACAUGCAUGACUAACAACCCCAUAAUAGGCCCUUCCUUUUCAGCUGUAAUGGGAGCCACACUGACAGAUGUGAUGGGUGUUCUCAGCAACCCUCGAGGAGUGACAACUGCAGCGCUCACUUACAAAAAACAGUAACUGCUGAAAUGCAAAGGCUGCCGGAUCCCCACACACCGUUGGCUCUGAUCACAAGUGUCCCUGAUCCUCCUGGGCUUACUGAACAUCCGACCAUUGCCCUCAGAACAACUACCUAUGCAUGAAAGAGAAAAUGUGAAAAUGCUGGGAACUCCAGGGAGAGCAAUGUGUGACAUUUAUAGAGUGGCCCGAAGCAGCACUUCUCCAUGCAUCUUUGGGGAGGGUUGGCCAUCAGGAAAACAGAACACUAGGAAGAGCACAGCUACUGUCAUCAGAAACACCUGGAUUGACAUUUCCACUCUCACGGACUGGCUGUAUGACCGUGGACCAGCUUCUUAUCCUCUUCUGAAUUUCAUGUCCUCCCUGUAAUGUGGGGAUAACAAUGUGUUGUUGCAACUCCUAAGUGAGAUAAUCUGCGUAAGAUGCUUUAGCUUCCCUCUGCUGCAGCCUGAUAUCAGUAGGUUUUCAAUAUGUGGCCGUUACUGUCCCAUGAGCUGGUUUUCAGCCUGACUGCCUAAGGUAGGAAAUGCCAUUGGAAUUCUUAUUAACUGGGUUCUUGACAAGCAGGAGGUUGUAGUCAUAGGUGGAGAUGGUGUGGCUUAGCCCAGAGUUAAGAGACAACUCAGGUCGGGCGCGGUGGCUCACGCCUGGAAUCCCAGCACUUUGGGAGGCUGAGGUGGGCGGAUCAUGAGGUCAGGAGUUCGAGACCAGCCUGGUCAACACGGUGAAACCCCAUCUCUACAAAAAAUACAAAAAUUAGCCAGAUGUGGUGGCGCGUGCCUGUAAUCCCAGCUACUUGGGCAGUUGAGGCAUGAUAAUCACUUGAACCCAGGAGGAGGAGCUUGCCGUGAGCCGAGAUCGUGCCACUGCACUCCAGCCUGGAUGACAAAGUCCGACUCCAUCUCCAAAAAAAAAACAAAGAGACAACUCAAACUAAAGCCACUUUUGAGGAAUACCUCCUUGUUAACCAAGUACAACAUAGUUACCAUAAAAACUAUCUGGCUAGAUAAUAGAAAUACUCAACUUUUGUAUCCUACCUUACUCAGUCAACAUCAAGAACAUCUUCAUGUUGGGACCCACUCUUCUACAUUAUUUUGCAUGGUUGAGACACCACACAGUCGCAGGACAUGAAGAAAAACAAAGGCAAAAUAAAACACCGUGUCAUACUUGUUGUCACAUCCUCUGUCCACGCAGCCCUUCUGAUCAUGCCCUGGUAUGUGCUUCUGAGACUAGAUAGGCCAGCGGUGGCUCAAACACCCUGAGACAGCCCGAACUCAGCUGUGCGCCCACCCC
Molecule: long non-coding RNA, 1959 nt
Organism: Pan paniscus (pygmy chimpanzee)
Lineage: Eukaryota; Metazoa; Chordata; Mammalia; Primates; Hominidae
Source: Ensembl